GAAGAGGCCAGAGCUCUUGCAAGCUGAGAUAGAUGGGUCCUUCAACCAAGUGGGUUGAAGUCUCUGCAAAUGGAAGAUUGAGAAGCAGACAAACUACAGUAUCUCUCUGAAUGGCCCAGGAGAGGGCUGGAUAUUGUACAUAGUGUGGGGAAAAUUUGGAACUGGGAGUGCAUUGUGUCACCUCUGUGUAAGCAUUUCCAGGGUUAACCGAGCUCUUGCCUGAUGAACGUGCUGUAGUAUCCUGAGCGAUGGAUUCAUCAGCAAGAAGAUUCAUUCUAGAUCAUUAUGUUCACGGGUACAUUGCCUUUGGCACAAUUCAAUUGAGGAAAGUCUCAUCUGAAAGUUCAACCAAAGGUCAUUUCAUCACAGGCUGUACUGGUGCUACCAGCUACAACUCCAGCCCUAGGAAAGAACAGGAUGGGUCUGCGAUGGGUCUGGCUGGCCAGGGACUAA
This is a long non-coding RNA of Dermochelys coriacea (leatherback sea turtle), 453 nucleotides long. RefSeq lists it as uncharacterized. The record is from RefSeq and is a predicted model, not a curated record. The transcript has 3 exons. NCBI's taxonomy places the organism in Eukaryota, Metazoa, Chordata, Testudines, Dermochelyidae.